Molecule: transfer RNA, 365 nt
Filed under: uncultured Microcystis sp.
Lineage: Bacteria; Bacillati; Cyanobacteriota; Cyanophyceae; Chroococcales; Microcystaceae
Description: partial 16S-23S ribosomal RNA intergenic spacer
Rfam family: tRNA (bases 136-209)
Source: RNAcentral
AAAGGGAGACCUAAUUCAGGUAUGGGAUGAAAAAAAAAUAGUCCCAACCAAGAAUCAAUCCCAAAAGGUCGGAGCGAGGCAAAAUUGGCUUUCAAACUAGGUUCUGGGUUCACACAAGACCUGAAUCAGGAACAAGGGCUAUUAGCUCAGGUGGUUAGAGCGCACCCCUGAUAAGGGUGAGGUCCCUGGUUCGAGUCCAGGAUGGCCCACCUGCACAGGUGGCCAAAACAAAGAAAAAAAGCUCCGAAUCAGCACCUUAUCUUACUUAUAUAGUAAGAGAGAAUGCUGGCUCUGAGUACAGAGUCCAGAGGAACCUUGAAAACUGCAUAGAGCUAGGUGAAAAAGCCAAAAAAGAAGACCGCAAG